CAGUCGCCGCGGGAAUACAGAGGGUGCGAGCGUUAAUCGGAUUUACUGGGCGUAAAGCGUGCGAAGGCGGCUUCUUAAGUCGGAUGUGAAAUCCCUGAGCUUAACUUAGGAAUUGCAUUCGAUACUGGGAAGCUAGAGUAUGGGAGAGGAUGGUAGAAUUCCAGGUGUAGCGGUGAAAUGCGUAGAGAUCUGGAGGAAUACCGAUGGCGAAGGCAGCCAUCUGGCCUAAUACUGACGCUGAGGUACGAAAGCAUGGGGAGCAAACAGGAUUAGAUACCCCGGUAGUCCCUGUCUCUUAUAC
This 301-nucleotide ribosomal RNA is filed under the name uncultured bacterium. RNAcentral describes it as "partial 16S ribosomal RNA". It matches the Rfam family "Bacterial small subunit ribosomal RNA", at positions 509 to 807 of the family's 1533-position model. The record is from RNAcentral.